UCCCUGGUGGUCCAGUGUCCAAAACUCUGCAUUUCCAAUGCAGGAGUGAGAUGGGGCCCAGGUUUGAUCCCUGGUCAGGGAA
Molecule: transfer RNA, 82 nt
Filed under: Bos taurus (domestic cattle)
Lineage: Eukaryota; Metazoa; Chordata; Mammalia; Artiodactyla; Bovidae
Also listed under: 3 other names
Rfam family: tRNA
About the family: Transfer RNA (tRNA) molecules are approximately 80 nucleotides in length. Their secondary structure includes four short double-helical elements and three loops (D, anti-codon, and T loops).
Source: Rfam by way of RNAcentral